RNAcentral lists this transfer RNA (73 nucleotides) under Marmota monax (woodchuck). RNAcentral describes it as "tRNA.Asn". The stretch from base 10 to 66 matches the Rfam family "tRNA", at positions 8 to 63 of the family's 71-position model. From Rfam's summary of the family: Transfer RNA (tRNA) molecules are approximately 80 nucleotides in length. Their secondary structure includes four short double-helical elements and three loops (D, anti-codon, and T loops). Further hydrogen bonds mediate the characteristic L-shaped molecular structure. tRNAs have two regions of fundamental functional importance: the anti-codon, which is responsible for specific mRNA codon recognition, and the 3' end, to which the tRNAs corresponding amino acid is attached (by aminoacyl-tRNA synthetases). tRNAs cope with the degeneracy of the genetic code in two manners: having more than one tRNA (with a specific anti-codon) for a particular amino acid; and 'wobble' base-pairing, i.e. permitting non-standard base-pairing at the 3rd anti-codon position. The record is from RNAcentral. Lineage: Eukaryota; Metazoa; Chordata; Mammalia; Rodentia; Sciuridae.
UCAGGGGUAUAGCUCAGUGGUAGAGUGUAUGCUUGUUAUGCACAAGGCCCUAGGUUCAAUCCCCAGCACUGAA